CGCGGUAAUACGUAUGUCCCGAGCGUUAUCCGGAUUUAUUGGGCGUAAAGCGAGCGCAGACGGUUUAUUAAGUCUGAUGUGAAAGCCCGGAGCUCAACUCCGGAAUGGCAUUGGAAACUGGUUAACUUGAGUGCAGUAGAGGUAAGUGGAACUCCAUGUGUAGCGGUGGAAUGCGUAGAUAUAUGGAAGAACACCAGUGGCGAAGGCGGCUUACUGGACUGCAACUGACGUUGAGGCUCGAAAGUGUGGGUAGCAAACAGGAUUAGAUACCCUGGUAGUCCACACCGUAAACGAUGAACACUAGGUGUUAGGAGGUUUCCGCCUCUUAGUGCCGAAGCUAACGCAUUAAGUGUUCCGCCUGGGGAGUACGACCGCAAGGUUGAAACUCAAAGGAAUUGACGGGGACCCGCACAAGCGGUGGAGCAUGUGGUUUAAUUCGAAGCAACGCGAAGAACCUUACCAGGUCUUGACAUCCUUUGAAGCUUUUAGAGAUAGAAGUGUUCUCUUCGGAGACAAAGUGACAGGUGGUGCAUGGUCGUCGUCAGCUCGUGUCGUGAGAUGUUGGGUUAAGUCCCGCAACGAGCGCAACCCUUAUUGUUAGUUGCCAGCAUUCAGAUGGGCACUCUAGCGAGACUGCCGGUGACAAACCGGAGGAAGGCGGGGACGACGUCAGAUCAUCAUGCCCCUUAUGACCUGGGCUACACACGUGCUACAAUGGCGUAUACAACGAGUUGCCAACCCGCGAGGGUGAGCUAAUCUCUUAAAGUACGUCUCAGUUCGGAUUGUAGUCUGCAACUCGACUACAUGAAGUCGGAAUCGCUAGUAAUCGCGGAUCAGCACGCCGCGGUGAAUACGUUCCCGGGUCUUGUACACACCGCCCGUCACACCAUGGGAGUUUGUAAUGCCCAAAGCCGGUGCCUAACCU
This 925-nucleotide ribosomal RNA is filed under the name Leuconostoc mesenteroides. RNAcentral describes it as "bacterial SSU rRNA". It matches the Rfam family "Bacterial small subunit ribosomal RNA", at positions 516 to 1441 of the family's 1533-position model. Lineage: Bacteria; Bacillati; Bacillota; Bacilli; Lactobacillales; Lactobacillaceae. The record is from RNAcentral.